Molecule: non-coding RNA, 76 nt
Filed under: marine eukaryotic metagenome
Description: Glycine riboswitch
Rfam family: Glycine riboswitch aptamer
About the family: This family represents the bacterial glycine riboswitch. Glycine riboswitches usually consist of two metabolite-binding aptamers domains with similar structures in tandem.
Source: RNAcentral
GAAUCUGGAAAGUAGCUUCGGCUCACCGAAGGAGUAAGCGGACGUCGCGAAUCUCUCAGGUCAAUGACAGAUGGGU